This 723-nucleotide ribosomal RNA is filed under the name Vibrio sp. 13G08. RNAcentral's name for it is "bacterial SSU rRNA". It matches the Rfam family "Bacterial small subunit ribosomal RNA", at positions 33 to 735 of the family's 1533-position model. Lineage: Bacteria; Pseudomonadati; Pseudomonadota; Gammaproteobacteria; Vibrionales; Vibrionaceae. The record is from RNAcentral.
ACGCUGGCGGCAGGCCUAACACAUGCAAGUCGAGCGGAAACGACAACAUUGAAUCUUCGGAGGAUUUGUUGGGCGUCGAGCGGCGGACGGGUGAGUAAUGCCUAGGAAAUUGCCUUGAUGUGGGGGAUAACCAUUGGAAACGAUGGCUAAUACCGCAUAAUGCCUACGGGCCAAAGAGGGGGAUCUUCGGRCCUCUCGCGUCAAGAUAUGCCUAGGUGGGAUUAGCUAGUUGGUGAGGUAAUGGCUCACCAAGGCGACGAUCCCUAGCUGGUCUGAGAGGAUGAUCAGCCACACUGGAACUGAGACACGGUCCAGACUCCUACGGGAGGCAGCAGUGGGGAAUAUUGCACAAUGGGCGAAAGCCUGAUGCAGCCAUGCCGCGUGUAUGAAGAAGGCCUUCGGGUUGUAAAGUACUUUCAGUUGUGAGGAAGGGUGUGUAGUUAAUAGCUGCGCAUCUUGACGUUAGCAACAGAAGAAGCACCGGCUAACUCCGUGCCAGCAGCCGCGGUAAUACGGAGGGUGCGAGCGUUAAUCGGAAUUACUGGGCGUAAAGCGCAUGCAGGUGGUUCAUUAAGUCAGAUGUGAAAGCCCGGGGCUCAACCUCGGAACUGCAUUUGAAACUGGUGAACUAGAGUGCUGUAGAGGGGGGUAGAAUUUCAGGUGUAGCGGUGAAAUGCGUAGAGAUCUGAAGGAAUACCAGUGGCGAAGGCGGCCCCCUGGACA